CGCACAUUGCGCUCUCCGGUAGCCCGGGGAGCAUGCCUGUUCGAGCGUCAUUUUAAACCAUCAAGCUCAGCUUGGUUUUGGAGCCUCAUCUCGCUAUGCGUGAGGUGGGCCUUGAAAUGAUUGGCGGCCGAGUUGUCUACUAAGCGCAUUGAAUUUUUACUACGUUUAUGAGAGACUUCUUGUUUGUCUUGCCACUAAUGACACAAACAACCUCAAGGUUGACCUCGGAUCAGGUAGGGGUACCCGCUGAACUUAA
Molecule: unclassified non-coding RNA, 256 nt
Filed under: Basidiomycota sp.
Lineage: Eukaryota; Fungi; Basidiomycota
Description: partial contains 5.8S ribosomal RNA, internal transcribed spacer 2, and large subunit ribosomal RNA
Source: RNAcentral